RNAcentral lists this ribosomal RNA (253 nucleotides) under uncultured bacterium. Its description in RNAcentral is "partial 16S ribosomal RNA". It matches the Rfam family "Bacterial small subunit ribosomal RNA", at positions 524 to 776 of the family's 1533-position model. The record is from RNAcentral.
UACGUAGGGUCCGAGCGUUGUCCGGAGUUACUGGGCGUAAAGCGCGCGCAGGCGGCGGUGCUGGCCCGGCGUGAAAGCCCCCGGCUCAACCGGGGAGAGUCGUCGGGGACCGCACCGCUUGAGGGCGGUAGGGGCUGGUGGAAUGCCUGGUGUAGAGGUGAAAUGCGUAGAGAUCAGGCAGAACACCUGGGGCGAAGGCGGCCAGCUGGGCCGUCCCUGACGCUGAGGCGCGAAGGCGUGGGGAGCGAACGGG